This 331-nucleotide ribosomal RNA is filed under the name uncultured bacterium. Its description in RNAcentral is "bacterial SSU rRNA". It matches the Rfam family "Bacterial small subunit ribosomal RNA", at positions 568 to 898 of the family's 1533-position model. The record is from RNAcentral.
CGCGUAGGCGGUCCCGCACGUCGGAGGUGAAAUCCCCGGGCUCAACCCGGGAGCUGCCUCCGAUACGGCAGGGCUUGAGUCCGGGAGAGGGGAGCAGAAUUCCCAGUGUAGCGGUGAAAUGCGUAGAUAUUGGGAGGAAUACCGGUGGCGAAGGCGGCUCCCUGGACCGGUACUGACGCUGAGGCGCGAAAGCGUGGGUAGCAAACAGGAUUAGAUACCCUGGUAGUCCACGCCGUAAACGAUGGGCGCUUGGUGUCGGGGGUAUCGACCCUCCGGUGCCGAAGCUAACGCAUUAAGCACCCCGCCUGGGGAGUACGGUCGCAAGGCUGAA